CACAGGUAGGCGGGGCAGUGGCGGGAUUUCUGACGGUGUGUGGGCGGGGCUCUAAGCAGGGGCCCUCCUACCACAGGAACCGUAGCCCUGAUGUCAUCGCUAGGGGGUGGUGCCGAGGCUCUUCCGGGUAGGAGCAGAAUUACCCUGGCAGGAACUUGGGAGAGCUGAGGACUGAAGCCCCGGAUAUGCUGCUCUAAUGACUGUAGGAGGAUUGCACUGCUCUGCCUUCCCAUUAUUUUUUGUCUUCCUAGAUCCUCUUCCUCUGCUGUCUUCUUUUGGCUGUCUACCACAAACGCCAAUCACUACUAACCUGAUGGCAGACAGUUUGAGGUGGUCCCCAUGACAUUCUUAGUUUUCCAAAUGUGCCCUUGGGUUCUAAAAGGCUGGCGCUAAGAUUAUUUAAUGAAACCAGCAACAUGGAACAUACAUUUUACCAAUGUUAACCACUGUUAAAAGAUUUCCCAUCUGUUUAAGGUACAAUUCAGGAUACUGUUUUUUCUUUAAAACACAGUAGGUAGUAGAUUAGAUCAAGGACUAUCUGCUCCACAUUACAGGCUGUAGCACAUAUAUUUUAUACUGGCGAGGCAUUUGAAUACUGGGGUAAACUAUUUUCAGGUGUGGUUUUACUGAUAUUUUAUGCUGCUUAGUUGUUACUGUUACAAUAUUGUGAUUUAUAUUAUUUGUUGUUUUGCAUGAUUGUUUAUUGGUUACUAGCUACCCUGAACUCAAGAUGGGAGGAAGGCCAGGAUCUAAGAAACUUGAGUAAAAAAAUAUGGACCUGCCCAGUCAUUAAGAGCUCCUUCAGAGAUUAAGGGCCUUUGCUGUGGAUUUGCCCCAGCUGUAGAACCCUUUCCCCAAAGAGGUUUCAGCUGAGCUUUUGGGACCAGGUUAAAAGAGUUUCACUGACCUCUUUCUUCUACCACACGCACAAACCAAGUCGAUGUAAAAACCAGAACUGCCCCCUGGACAUACCAUUAGCUAAUUUGCUACAGAUUCUCAUGAACAGCAGUGGAAUAUUGAUCAAGAUUUUCUGUGAAUGCAAAAGAAGACUCAAGAGACCAAAUUCUUACUCUUGUAAGGCUUUAUAAAGCAAAGGAAAGAGCUGUAAGAUAAAAGUGUACAGCCCUAUUGACCAUAUACAAAAAUAAAUCAAGAGAACACUUCUAGUGCAUCUGUUGAAUUUUGUGCACCCAGCUAGUAUCAGCAAGUGUGAUAUAGAGCAUCAUAAAAGUGUUAUGCAUGGAACCUGACCUUUUUACUGUAGUCCUUGCUGUGAUGCACAAUUAAGACAUUUUCACUGUCUUGCCACGCUGUCCUCAACCCUAUUAAUUCAACCAUACCAAUUUGCUUCAGGUUAUGAAUAUUAAAUGUAACCUGUGAAACUAAUUAUAAACAAAUUUCAAGUGAAUGUUCAAUAUAAUAUUUAACAGGAUACCGUCAAGAGAGUAGCAUGCAUUGUACAGAAACACAUUUCUUAUCCUGGUUUGAAUCACUGUGGCCUGUAACAUGAUUCCCUAAUAAAUAAAAAUAAAUUGAAUUUUA
Molecule: non-coding RNA, 1542 nt
Organism: Podarcis muralis (Common wall lizard)
Lineage: Eukaryota; Metazoa; Chordata; Lepidosauria; Squamata; Lacertidae
Source: RefSeq, a predicted model, not a curated record